GCCAGACUCCUACGGGAUGCAGCAGUGGGGGAUAUUGCACAAUGGGGGGAACCCUGAUGCAGCGACGCCGCGUGGGUGAAGGAGCGUUUCGGCGCGUAAAGCCCUAUCGGCAGGGAAGAAGGAGGACGGUACCUGACUAAGAAGCCCCGGCUAACUACGUGCCAGCAGCCGCGGUAAUACGUAGGGGGCAAGCGUUAUCCGGAUUUACUGGGUGUAAAGGGGGCGCAGACGGCAGCGCAAGCCAGGAGUGAAAGCCCGGGGCCCAACCCCGGGACUGCUCUUGGAACUGCGCGGCUGGAGUGCAGGAGGGGCAGGCGGAAUUCCUGGUGUAGCGGUGAAAUGCGUAGAUAUCAGGAGGAACACCGGUGGCGAAGGCGGCCUGCUGGACUGCGACUGACGUUGAGGCCCGAAAGCGUGGGGAGCAAACAGGAUUAGAUACCCUUGUAU
Molecule: ribosomal RNA, 447 nt
Filed under: uncultured bacterium
Lineage: Bacteria
Description: bacterial SSU rRNA
Rfam family: Bacterial small subunit ribosomal RNA
Source: RNAcentral